This 830-nucleotide ribosomal RNA is filed under the name Escherichia coli. RNAcentral describes it as "partial 23S ribosomal RNA". It matches the Rfam family "Bacterial large subunit ribosomal RNA", at positions 418 to 1248 of the family's 2925-position model. Lineage: Bacteria; Pseudomonadati; Pseudomonadota; Gammaproteobacteria; Enterobacterales; Enterobacteriaceae. The record is from RNAcentral.
CGGGACACGUGGUAUCCUGUCUGAAUAUGGGGGGACCAUCCUCCAAGGCUAAAUACUCCUGACUGACCGAUAGUGAACCAGUACCGUGAGGGAAAGGCGAAAAGAACCCCGGCGAGGGGAGUGAAAAAGAACCUGAAACCGUGUACGUACAAGCAGUGGGAGCACGCUUAGGCGUGUGACUGCGUACCUUUUGUAUAAUGGGUCAGCGACUUAUAUUCUGUAGCAAGGUUAACCGAAUAGGGGAGCCGAAGGGAAACCGAGUCUUAACUGGGCGUUAAGUUGCAGGGUAUAGACCCGAAACCCGGUGAUCUAGCCAUGGGCAGGUUGAAGGUUGGGUAACACUAACUGGAGGACCGAACCGACUAAUGUUGAAAAAUUAGCGGAUGACUUGUGGCUGGGGGUGAAAGGCCAAUCAAACCGGGAGAUAGCUGGUUCUCCCCGAAAGCUAUUUAGGUAGCGCCUCGUGAAUUCAUCUCCGGGGGUAGAGCACUGUUUCGGCAAGGGGGUCAUCCCGACUUACCAACCCGAUGCAAACUGCGAAUACCGGAGAAUGUUAUCACGGGAGACACACGGCGGGUGCUAACGUCCGUCGUGAAGAGGGAAACAACCCAGACCGCCAGCUAAGGUCCCAAAGUCAUGGUUAAGUGGGAAACGAUGUGGGAAGGCCCAGACAGCCAGGAUGUUGGCUUAGAAGCAGCCAUCAUUUAAAGAAAGCGUAAUAGCUCACUGGUCGAGUCGGCCUGCGCGGAAGAUGUAACGGGGCUAAACCAUGCACCGAAGCUGCGGCAGCGACGCUGAUGCGUUGUUGGGUAGGGGAGCGUUCUGUAAGC